This 467-nucleotide ribosomal RNA is filed under the name uncultured Nitrosomonas sp. RNAcentral's name for it is "bacterial SSU rRNA". It matches the Rfam family "Bacterial small subunit ribosomal RNA", at positions 197 to 645 of the family's 1533-position model. Lineage: Bacteria; Pseudomonadati; Pseudomonadota; Betaproteobacteria; Nitrosomonadales; Nitrosomonadaceae. The record is from RNAcentral.
UGGAGAAAAGCAGGGGAUCGCAAGACCUUGCGCUAAAGGAGCGGCCGAUGUCUGAUUAGCUAGUUGGUGGGGUAAAGGCCUACCAAGGCAACGAUCAGUAGUUGGUCUGAGAGGACGACCAACCACACUGGGACUGAGACACGGCCCAGACUCCUACGGGAGGCAGCAGUGGGGAAUUUUGGACAAUGGGCGAAAGCCUGAUCCAGCCAUGCCGCGUGAGUGAAGAAGGCCUUCGGGUUGUAAAGCUCUUUUAGUCGGAAAGAAAGAGUUGCAAUGAAUAAUUGUGAUUUAUGACGGUACCGACAGAAAAAGCACCGGCUAACUACGUGCCAGCAGCCGCGGUAAUACGUAGGGUGCGAGCGUUAAUCGGAAUUACUGGGCGUAAAGGGUGCGCAGGCGGUCUUGCAAGUCAGAUGUGAAAGCCCCGGGCUUAACCUGGGAAUUGCGUUUGAAACUACAAGGCUAGA